Molecule: ribosomal RNA, 1549 nt
Filed under: Bacillus sp. LJBS17
Lineage: Bacteria; Bacillati; Bacillota; Bacilli; Caryophanales; Bacillaceae
Description: 16S ribosomal RNA
Rfam family: Bacterial small subunit ribosomal RNA
Source: RNAcentral
UUAUCGGAGAGUUUGAUCCUGGCUCAGGACGAACGCUGGCGGCGUGCCUAAUACAUGCAAGUCGAGCGGACAGAUGGGAGCUUGCUCCCUGAUGUUAGCGGCGGACGGGUGAGUAACACGUGGGUAACCUGCCUGUAAGACUGGGAUAACUCCGGGAAACCGGGGCUAAUACCGGAUGGUUGUUUGAACCGCAUGGUUCAAACAUAAAAGGUGGCUUCGGCUACCACUUACAGAUGGACCCGCGGCGCAUUAGCUAGUUGGUGAGGUAAUGGCUCACCAAGGCAACGAUGCGUAGCCGACCUGAGAGGGUGAUCGGCCACACUGGGACUGAGACACUACCAGACUCCUACGGGAGGCAGCAGUAGGGAAUCUUCCGCAAUGGACGAAAGUCUGACGGAGCAACGCCGCGUGAGUGAUGAAGGUUUUCGGAUCGUAAAGCUCUGUUGUUAGGGAAGAACAAGUACCGUUCGAAUAGGGCGGUACCUUGACGGUACCUAACCAGAAAGCCACGGCUAACUACGUGCCAGCAGCCGCGGUAAUACGUAGGUGGCAAGCGUUGUCCGGAAUUAUUGGGCGUAAAGGGCUCGCAGGCGGUUUCUUAAGUCUGAUGUGAAAGCCCCCGGCUCAACCGGGGAGGGUCAUUGGAAACUGGGGAACUUGAGUGCAGAAGAGGAGAGUGGAAUUCCACGUGUAGCGGUGAAAUGCGUAGAGAUGUGGAGGAACACCAGUGGCGAAGGCGACUCUCUGGUCUGUAACUGACGCUGAGGAGCGAAAGCGUGGGGAGCGAACAGGAUUAGAUACCCUGGUAGUCCACGCCGUAAACGAUGAGUGCUAAGUGUUAGGGGGUUUCCGCCCCUUAGUGCUGCAGCUAACGCAUUAAGCACUCCGCCUGGGGAGUACGGUCGCAAGACUGAAACUCAAAGGAAUUGACGGGGGCCCGCACAAGCGGUGGAGCAUGUGGUUUAAUUCGAAGCAACGCGAAGAACCUUACCAGGUCUUGACAUCCUCUGACAAUCCUAGAGAUAGGACGUCCCCUUCGGGGGCAGAGUGACAGGUGGUGCAUGGUUGUCGUCAGCUCGUGUCGUGAGAUGUUGGGUUAAGUCCCGCAACGAGCGCAACCCUUGAUCUUAGUUGCCAGCAUUCAGUUGGGCACUCUAAGGUGACUGCCGGUGACAAACCGGAGGAAGGUGGGGAUGACGUCAAAUCAUCAUGCCCCUUAUGACCUGGGCUACACACGUGCUACAAUGGACAGAACAAAGGGCAGCGAAACCGCGAGGUUAAGCCAAUCCCACAAAUCUGUUCUCAGUUCGGAUCGCAGUCUGCAACUCGACUGCGUGAAGCUGGAAUCGCUAGUAAUCGCGGAUCAGCAUGCCGCGGUGAAUACGUUCCCGGGCCUUGUACACACCGCCCGUCACACCACGAGAGUUUGUAACACCCGAAGUCGGUGAGGUAACCUUUUAGGAGCCAGCCGCCGAAGGUGGGACAGAUGAUUGGGGUGAAGUCGUAACAAGGUAGCCGUAUCGGAAGGUGCGGCUGGAUCACCUCCUUU